GGCAGCAGGCACGCAAAUUACCCACUCUCAGAACGAGGAGGUAGUGACGAAAAAUAACAAUACGGGACUAUUAAUAGGCCCCGUAAUUGGAAUGAGUACAAUAUAAAUCCUUUAACGAGGAUCUAUUGGAGGGCAAGUCUGGUGCCAGCAGCCGCGGUAAUUCCAGCUCCAAUAGCGUAUAUUAAAGUUGCUGCGUUUAAAAAGCUCGUAGUUGUAUCUCAGUUCAUGUCAAUUGGUUAACCACUUAUUAGUGAUUACUUUUUGACUGAACAUUGAACCGAUUUGUUUUCUGAUGCUCUUUACCGAGUGUUAUUAACGAUCGGGAUCUUUACUUUGAAAAAAUUAGAGUGCUCAAAGCAGGCAUUUCGCCUAAAUAUUCUUGCAUGGAAUAAUGGAAUAAGAUCUAGGUUCUAUUCUGUUGGUCUUUUGAACCUCAGUUAAUGAUUAAAAGGGACAGACGGGGGCAUUCGUAUUGCGGCGCUAGAGGUGAAAUUCUUGGACCGUCGCAAGACGAA
RNAcentral lists this ribosomal RNA (515 nucleotides) under Demodex sp. wild boar. Its description in RNAcentral is "SSU rRNA". It matches the Rfam family "Eukaryotic small subunit ribosomal RNA", at positions 424 to 939 of the family's 1831-position model. The record is from RNAcentral. Lineage: Eukaryota; Metazoa; Arthropoda; Arachnida; Trombidiformes; Demodicidae.